Long non-coding RNA from Camponotus floridanus (Florida carpenter ant), 555 nucleotides. RefSeq lists it as uncharacterized. The record is from RefSeq and is a predicted model, not a curated record. The transcript is spliced from 3 exons. NCBI's taxonomy places the organism in Eukaryota, Metazoa, Arthropoda, Insecta, Hymenoptera, Formicidae.
GCCGGAAGAGUUACUGGAUGCAAAAUGUUUCUCCAUUAGAAUCUAAUAUUAUCAAAAAUUAGAAUAAUAUUGUAUUUAUUAAAUUGUAUUUUUGAAAUGUCACAAAACAAAUAGAUAUAUACAGAAUUAAAGAUAAAACAACUAAUUCGAUUGACCGAUUUUCAAGGAAUGGAAUUUAAAAUGCAAGAAAAAGAUCGUAUUAAUAAAAAAUCUGAAAAAACGCGUCAAAUUAUUAUAGAAUAUUUAGUUCAUGGCAAUUACAUCAACAUUAAAUCAUUGAAAUGUAAAGAAACAGAAAGACCUAGUAUAUAAUAGAACAAAUUUAUUUCAAACAUACACAAGUUUGUCUUUUUAAAUUGCACAACAGAAAAAUGACUGAUAUUAUGAAUACAUCAUCUCAAGAGGGUUUUAUGAAGAAGAAAUGGAAAGCAAUGAAAAUACCUUUGUCAUAUAUCAAAAGUGCAAUUAUACGAAAUUUAUAGGUGUAAUUUAUAAUUUUGCACCCAUAGAUUAUAACAAUUGUGGACAUCUUAUUUGAAAAAAUUAAUGUGUUCA